UCCUACGGGGGGCUGCAGUAGGGAAUCUUCCGCAAUGGACGAAAGUCUGACGGAGCAACGCCGCGUGAGUGAUGAAGGCUUUCGGGUCGUAAAACUCUGUUGUUAGGGAAGAACAAGUGCUAGUUGAAUAAGCUGGCACCUUGACGGUACCUAACCAGAAAGCCACGGCUAACUACGUGCCAGCAGCCGCGGUAAUACGUAGGUGGCAAGCGUUAUCCGGAAUUAUUGGGCGUAAAGCGCGCGCAGGUGGUUUCUUAAGUCUGAGGUGAAAGCCCACGGCUCAACCGUGGAGGGUCAUUGGAAACUGGGAGACUUGAGUGCAGAAGAGGAAAGUGGAAUUCCAUGUGUAGCGGUGAAAUGCGUAGAGAUAUGGAGGAACAGCAGUGGCGAAGGCGACUUUCUGGUCUGUAACUGACACUGAGGCGCGAAAGCGUGGGGAGCAAACAGGAUUAGAUACCCCAGUAGUC
Molecule: ribosomal RNA, 467 nt
Filed under: uncultured Bacillus sp.
Lineage: Bacteria; Bacillati; Bacillota; Bacilli; Caryophanales; Bacillaceae
Description: bacterial SSU rRNA
Rfam family: Bacterial small subunit ribosomal RNA
Source: RNAcentral